RNAcentral lists this ribosomal RNA (492 nucleotides) under uncultured bacterium. RNAcentral's name for it is "partial 16S ribosomal RNA". It matches the Rfam family "Bacterial small subunit ribosomal RNA", at positions 29 to 507 of the family's 1533-position model. The record is from RNAcentral.
AGUGAACGCUGGCGGUAGGCCUAACACAUGCAAGUCGAACGGCAGCGCAGUAAGAGCUUGCUCUUACGGGUGGCGAGUGGCGGACGGGUGAGGAAUACAUCGGAAUCUACUUUUUCGUGGGGGAUAACGUAGGGAAACUUACGCUAAUACCGCAUACGACCUACGGGGGAAAGCAGGGGAUGUUCGGACCUUGCGCGAUUGAAUGAGCCGAUGACGGAUUAGCUAGUUGGCGGGGUAAAGGCCCACCAAGGCGACGUUCCGUAGCUGGUCUGAGAGGGUGAUCCGCCACACUGGCACUGAGACACGGUCCCGACUCCUACGGGAGGCAGCAGUGGGGACUCUUGGACGAUGGGCGCGUGCCUUAUCCUGCCCUACCGCGUGGGUGAAGAAGGCCUUCGGGUUGUAGAGCCCUUUUGUUGUGAAAGAAGAGCAGCACGUUAAUCCCCCGCUGUUCUGACGGUACCCAAAGAAUAAGCACCGGCUAACUUCGUG